RNAcentral lists this ribosomal RNA (500 nucleotides) under uncultured bacterium. Its description in RNAcentral is "partial 16S ribosomal RNA". It matches the Rfam family "Bacterial small subunit ribosomal RNA", at positions 30 to 523 of the family's 1533-position model. The record is from RNAcentral.
AUUGAACGCCGGCGGAAUGCUUUACACAUGCAAGUCGAACGGCAGCACGGACUUCGGUCUGGUGGCGAGUGGCGAACGGGUGAGUAAUGUAUCGGAACGUGCCCAGUCGUGGGGGAUAACGUAGUGAAAAUUACGCUAAUACCGCAUACGAUCUAUGGAUGAAAGCGGGGGAUCGCAAGACCUCGCGCGAUUGGAUCGGCCGAUAUCAGAUUAGGUAGUUGGUGGGGUAAAGGCCCACCAAGCCAACGAUCUGUAGCUGGUCUGAGAGGACGACCAGCCACACUGGAACUGAGACACGGUCCAGACUCCUACGGGAGGCAGCAGUGGGGAAUUUUGGACAAUGGGCGAAAGCCUGAUCCAGCCAUUCCGCGUGCAGGAUGAAGGCCCUCGGGUUGUAAACUGCUUUUGUACAGAACGAAAAGGUUUCUACUAAUACUAGGAGCUCAUGACGGUACUGUAAGAAUAAGCACCGGCUAACUACGUGCCAGCCGCCGCUGUAA